UGGGGAAUAUUGGGCAAUGGGCGAAAGCCUGACCCAGCAACGCCGCGUGAGGGAAGAAGGCCUUCGGGUUGUAAACCUCUGUCCUUGGUGACGAAGAAAGUGACGGUAGCCAAGGAGGAAGCCCCGGCUAACUACGUGCCAGCAGCCGCGGUAAUACGUAGGGGGCGAGCGUUGUCCGGAAUUACUGGGCGUAAAGGGUGCGUAGGUGGCCUUUUAAGUUGGAUGUGAAAUACCCGGGCUUAACUUGGGGGGUGCAUCUAAUACUGGGAGGCUAGAGUGCAUGAGAGGGAAGCGGAAUUCCUAGUGUAGCGGUGAAAUGCGUAGAUAUUAGGAGGAACACCAGUGGCGAAGGCGGCUUUCUGGACUGUAACUGACACUGAGGCACGAAAGCGUGGGGAGCAAACAG
This 406-nucleotide ribosomal RNA is filed under the name uncultured bacterium. Its description in RNAcentral is "bacterial SSU rRNA". It matches the Rfam family "Bacterial small subunit ribosomal RNA", at positions 355 to 775 of the family's 1533-position model. The record is from RNAcentral.